AUGUCAAGUGCUAAACAUCUUGAACUGAUAUCUGAAUUAGGAAAGUUCAUUUUCACAAGAGAUUUGAAUUGCCGCCCUACAUUUAGUAAGUUAAAGACUUUAUUGCUCAAUGAGUACUGGUGCGAGGCUCCUGACCUGGGUCCACUAGCUUGCAUUCUACAAAAUUCACCAGUUCUAGAGAAGCUCACUCUUCAACUUUUCUCCAAGGGACCAGAUCAUAAAGUGGAAAUGAAAGGAAGGUACAGUCCAAUGGAGGGUCCGUCUGCAAUAUCAGAGCACCUAAACAUGGUUGAAGUCAAGUGUAAUGUGGUCGACGAGAAGAUUCUCAAAGUCUUGAAGCUCUUGUCUGCAUUUAACAUACGUUUCGGUUUCUUGUAA
RNAcentral lists this ribosomal RNA (378 nucleotides) under Triticum aestivum (bread wheat). RNAcentral describes it as "partial small subunit ribosomal RNA". The record is from RNAcentral. Lineage: Eukaryota; Viridiplantae; Streptophyta; Magnoliopsida; Poales; Poaceae.